RNAcentral lists this long non-coding RNA (305 nucleotides) under Lepisosteus oculatus (spotted gar). RNAcentral describes it as "lncRNA (ENSLOCG00000022201.1)". The record is from RNAcentral. Lineage: Eukaryota; Metazoa; Chordata; Actinopteri; Semionotiformes; Lepisosteidae.
UGAGGGGAAGAUCCCCAUUCAGGGAAAUGGCUCCUUGUGUCUGAGAGUUCCUGCACAGCAGCCACUGGAAACACAGCUGAGAGAAAUGGGCCUCAGUCUGUCUCCUCCUCUCUUUCAGGUUCUCUUGGUGGAUUGAGGUCUCUGAGGAGCAGAAACACAAAGCCAUUUCAUUCCUGCUGGAUCUGUGUCUGCAAGGAGCAGAGUGGGAGACACAGACAGGAGAGAAGGUCUUGGAAUUGACCAUAAAAUGUUGACCAUUUUAUUUGCUGAGGGAGUUUUCCGCCACUAUUAUCACAACCGUUUAC